Molecule: ribosomal RNA, 511 nt
Filed under: uncultured bacterium
Lineage: Bacteria
Description: bacterial SSU rRNA
Rfam family: Bacterial small subunit ribosomal RNA
Source: RNAcentral
AGCGAACGUUAGCGGCGGGCCUAACACAUGCAAGUCGAACGCGAAAGGUCUUCGGACUGAGUAGAGUGGCGCACGGGUGAGUAACACGUAGGUAAUCUACCCUUUGGCGGGGGAUAACGUUCCGAAAGGAGCGCUAAUACCGCAUAAGACCACGGAGUCUCCGGACGCUGUGGGAAAAGGUGGCCUCUUCUUGAAAGCUACCACCGAAGGAUGAGCCUGCGUCCCAUCAGCUAGUUGGUAAGGUAAUGGCUUACCAAGGCGAAGACGGGUAGCUGGUUUGAGAGAAUGAUCAGCCACACUGGCACUGGAACACGGGCCAGACUCCUACGGGAGGCAGCAGUGAGGAAUAUUGGGCAAUGGGCGAAAGCCUGACCCAGCCACGCCGCGUGAGUGAUGACGGCCCUCGGGUCGUAAAGCUCUGUGGAGAGGGACGAAAACCCUGGUUUCAAAUAGGCUCCAGGCUUGACGGUACCUCUUUAGCAAGCACCGGCUAACUCUGUGCCAGCAGCCG